This 256-nucleotide ribosomal RNA is filed under the name uncultured bacterium. RNAcentral's name for it is "partial 16S ribosomal RNA". It matches the Rfam family "Bacterial small subunit ribosomal RNA", at positions 524 to 776 of the family's 1533-position model. The record is from RNAcentral.
UACGUAGGGUGCAAGCGUUGUCCGGAAUUAUUGGGCGUAAAGAGCUCGUAGGCGGUUUGUUGCGUCGGCUGUGAAAUCCCGAGGCUCAACCUCGGGUCUGCAGUCGAUACGAGCAAACUAGAGUGUUGCAGGGGAGACUGGAAUUCCUGGUGUAGCGGUGAAAUGCGUAGAGAUCAUGAGGAAGACCAGUGGCGAAGGCGGGUCUCUGGACAGUUCCUGACAGCUGAGGCAACGGAAGGUCAGGGGAGCAAACGGG